This 61-nucleotide transfer RNA is filed under the name Ctenocephalides felis (cat flea). RNAcentral describes it as "tRNA-Cys". RNAcentral also lists the same sequence under 2 other names. Lineage: Eukaryota; Metazoa; Arthropoda; Insecta; Siphonaptera; Pulicidae. The record is from RNAcentral.
AAUCUUAUAGUCAAAAAUGAUAUUAAAUUGCAAAUUUAAAGGAGUAUUAAUACUAAGGUUU